UACGUAGGGGGCAAGCGUUGUCCGGAAUCAUUGGGCGUAAAGCGCGCGUAGGCGGCCCGGUAAGUCCGUUGUGAAAGUCAAAGGCUCAACCUUUGAACGCCGAUGGAUACUGCCGGGCUAGAGUCCGGAAGGGGCGAGUGGAAUUCCUGGUGUAGCGGUGAAAUGCGCAGAUAUCAGGAGGAACACCAAUGGCGAAGGCAGCUCGCUGGAACGGUACUGACGCUGAGGCGCGAAAGCGUGGGGAGCAAACAGGAUUAGAACCCUACGUCGAGACC
RNAcentral lists this ribosomal RNA (275 nucleotides) under uncultured bacterium. Its description in RNAcentral is "partial 16S ribosomal RNA". It matches the Rfam family "Bacterial small subunit ribosomal RNA", at positions 524 to 796 of the family's 1533-position model. The record is from RNAcentral.